Molecule: non-coding RNA, 209 nt
Filed under: Vagococcus lutrae
Lineage: Bacteria; Bacillati; Bacillota; Bacilli; Lactobacillales; Enterococcaceae
Description: T-box sequence
Rfam family: T-box leader
About the family: Uncharged tRNA acts as the effector for transcription antitermination of genes in the T-box leader family.
Source: RNAcentral
UAAAACACGUAUGAUAAAGAAGAAGUACUCGAUGUAUCUUUUUUAGAGAGUCUGUGGUUGGUGCAAACAGAUAAAGAUAUCGUAGGAAAUGCCUCUUUAAAGUGGGUUUGAUGAAAAAUUAGUAGUCAAGCACGGCAAACGACCGUUAUCGUGAAAGGUCAUCUUUUUGGUGACAAAAAAAAGUGGAACCACGUGAAAGCGUCUUUUGU